UGGGACCAACCAAAUUACAAAUCAGAAACUUACUGUACCUUUAGUAUCAGGGAAAUUCCAAUCCUUUUUCUUAAAUAAUAAUCCCGAAAUUAAGAUGAUCUACGAAUCCUUUCUAAACUUAUGACACAAAGUUUAUUAAAUCAUAUGUAGAAAUGAAAUUUUUCCCGCUUUUAUUGAUAUCUGGUUAUCUCAAAAAGUAAAAAAUACUAAAAUUUUCCAAGGGACAAUCUUUGUAAAUCAUUUUUCUAUCCCCUUCUUCCUCCCCGCAAAGAUUAAUAGUGUCUAUCCAGUUUAAAAACUUAUUCCUUUUACCCACCGAAUCAUUUUAAGAGAUACCCUUUUAUUAAUCUUUACAAUGAAUUUAUAAGUAAAACUACCAAAAAAUCUUACCCGUGAAAGCUUCUCCUAACAACUCUUCUCUAUAAUCUAUGAACUCGGCCCUCCCCUAUUGUAUGUUUACCAAAAACAUUUCUGAAUGAAAUUAUACUCAGUAGGACCUGCUCAAUGAAUUUUAAAUAGCCGCAAUUCAUCUGUGCUAAGGUAGCAAAAUCAUUCGCCUUUUAAUUGAAGGCUAGUAUGAACGGUCUGUCAUAUAGGCCCCUUUAUUAAUUAUACUAUUCAAAAUUUACCUUCAAGUUACAAGGCUUGAAUUCAAAAGAAAGACGACAAGACCCCGACGAGCUUAAACUUUUGUUGAACUGGGGAGGUACAAAACUAAAUCUUUUCUUUCUAAUUCUACCCAACCUUUUUAAAAGAAUCUUUCAAGUUACCGCAGGGAUAACAGCACAAUUUUUUCUUUUAGCUC
Molecule: ribosomal RNA, 805 nt
Filed under: Aptostichus hedinorum
Lineage: Eukaryota; Metazoa; Arthropoda; Arachnida; Araneae; Euctenizidae
Description: partial 16S ribosomal RNA
Source: RNAcentral